UACGUAGGGCGCGAGCGUUGUCCGGAAUCACUGGGCGUAAAGCGCACGUAGGCGGACUCUUAAGUCGGGGGUGAAAUCCUGGAGCUCAACUCCAGAACUGCCUUCGAUACUGAGAGUCUUGAGUCCGGGAGAGGUGAGUGGAACUGCGAGUGUAGAGGUGAAAUUCGUAGAUAUUCGCAAGAACACCAGUGGCGAAGGCGGCUCACUGGCCCGGUACUGACGCUGAGGUGCGAAAGCGUGGGGAGCAAACAGG
This 253-nucleotide ribosomal RNA is filed under the name uncultured bacterium. RNAcentral describes it as "partial 16S ribosomal RNA". It matches the Rfam family "Bacterial small subunit ribosomal RNA", at positions 524 to 776 of the family's 1533-position model. The record is from RNAcentral.